UCCGGAGUCAGGGUACCAAAUGGUGAGAGCUUCGGAUGCUUCCGCAAUGUUUGCCGAAUGAGGGGACGUUUUGUUGCUUCCUUUCGGACCAAACGACGAUAGCUCUCGAUUCUGUGUUGGUUUAAAUUGGGUUAUGUUCAAACGAUUGUAACAAUUUAACGCACUGUGGGAUUUUCUGUUGCAUAUUUGACAUUUUAUAUCUGACACCUUUGAGGUUGAUUCUGGUGUAGUCUUUUUAUACGCAGCAUUAACCGAAACGGUGUUAUGAUUUAUCUUGUUUUCACGACGUAUUUCUUGAUCCAUAAGCAUUUCGCACAAGGUGUCGAAUGUCAUAUUUGGAUCCGGUCUUGUUGUUAUUGCCGUGACAAAUGACUCGUAGUCAUCACCCAAAGCUCCCAACGUGAUCAAGAUUAGUU
Molecule: long non-coding RNA, 416 nt
Filed under: Zostera marina
Lineage: Eukaryota; Viridiplantae; Streptophyta; Magnoliopsida; Alismatales; Zosteraceae
Description: long non-coding RNA (ZMAR_LNC004985)
Source: RNAcentral